UCCCUGACAGUCCAGUGGUUAAGACUCGGCACUUUCAUUGCCAUGGCCCAAGUUCAAUCCCUGGUCAGGCAA
This is a non-coding RNA of Bos taurus (domestic cattle), 72 nucleotides long. Lineage: Eukaryota; Metazoa; Chordata; Mammalia; Artiodactyla; Bovidae. The record is from Rfam.